RNAcentral lists this long non-coding RNA (211 nucleotides) under Prunus persica (peach). Its description in RNAcentral is "long non-coding RNA (PPER_LNC007575)". The record is from RNAcentral. Lineage: Eukaryota; Viridiplantae; Streptophyta; Magnoliopsida; Rosales; Rosaceae.
UCAGCUAUCAGACUAUUGUUCUUUAUGACUAUUGUUCUUAAAGUUAUAUUUCUUUGCUUUAUUUUAUUGCUUUACUUAUCAGACCAUAAAAACUAGGAACUUUCUAUGUAUUUUUCCUUUUCGUUUGAAACUUUUAGAUAAUUUUUUUACUUAAGCGCAUGUAGCGUGUGGUUUUAUUGGUGUGAAAAGAAUAUCAAUUUGGUAUCAUAGC